This is a long non-coding RNA of Bufo bufo (common toad), 226 nucleotides long. RefSeq lists it as uncharacterized. The record is from RefSeq and is a predicted model, not a curated record. The transcript has 3 exons. NCBI's taxonomy places the organism in Eukaryota, Metazoa, Chordata, Amphibia, Anura, Bufonidae.
AUAAUAAUCUAGUAUAUUAGGACGCUCCAUUUUCCUUCUGGUUUGCCAUUACAUAAGAUGGCGCCAUUAGAAAUUAAAAACUUGUCCUGCAAAAAAGUCAUUGUAGAGCUGUGAAUGGUAAAAUAAGGGCAGGAGUCAACAAAUGGUAAAUUGCUCUGUCCUCUUUAAAGGGAACCUGUCACCAGGAUUUGGGGUAUAGAGCAGAGGACAUGGGUUGCUAGAUGGC